Molecule: long non-coding RNA, 3065 nt
Organism: Syngnathoides biaculeatus (alligator pipefish)
Lineage: Eukaryota; Metazoa; Chordata; Actinopteri; Syngnathiformes; Syngnathidae
Exons: 5
Source: RefSeq, a predicted model, not a curated record
GGAAAAACUAAAGUUACUUUUUUGCUAAUUCAAGUCACACUAUUAUGUGUUUCAUGCAUAUCAAUCAUGUGAAGUCAGAAAAUACACAUUAACUUGAAGCACUGUUGGGGAAUGUUCCAGAGACAGAGCAUUUAAGAGUUUUCAGGCUAUAAAAUGGUUUCACCAUUUGAAAUGAUCCACACGAAUAAACAUUGUCACAGAAUCUCUUGAAUUGUUUUUGUGUCAGAAAAAGUUCAUUGUAAAAUACGUAAUAGUGUUUCGUAUAUAAAGUUGCGGUGCAAAGAAUGGAUGGCAACAGCCUGACAAUCUCACUUUAAAACGAUACCAAAAAGGCAAUGUUAAAGCAUAAGGCCAUAACACAUUUCAACUUUUUAUUUAAUAUUGAAUUAAAAAUUGUACAAAAACCAGUGUGGAGUGCGAAGCUAAGGGAAUAUUUUUGUUUGUGUUUGUGGAAUUUAUUUAUUUUGUUCCUGUACUUGUGUCUUGCUUAAAGGGACAAUAUGCGAUUUUCAAAUUGCAUGCCUUACUUUUGGGCACCUGGAAAAAGAGACCACUGAGUCCUACUCUCUUCUGCCUCAGUGCACAUCAGGGUCACCCAUGAAAAUUUUAAAAUAAAGAUGCACUUUAAAAAAAAAAACAAAGUAUGGCAGUUCAGUAAAGAUUCCUCAGAAGUUCAAAGAGUGCCAAGAGAGAGUUUUUUUUGUGUGUCCAGGUUUAAGAAAUAUUUUAUAACCACAGUAUAACCGGUACAGUAGCUGAAAAUGUGGUAGAUCUUUAUGACAUCUCUGAUCGUCCAUAUUCACUGAUAAUUUACAGACUGCUGUAUUCGAUCACUCCUAUCACUUCACCCUCUGAUUUGCUAUUUUCAUGACAUGUCCAGUUGUAAAAUAAUCCAUAAAAUUUAAUCAGAGGCAUUAGAUGGGCCAGAGAGAGUAGAUUUUUUUUAACAGAUGAGUUAAGUAAUAUUCUCCUGGUAGGUCUGUAUGUACAUUGUGUAUAUACUGUAUAUAUGUAAAUGUAUGUAAUGUAUGUAUAUAUGAAAUGUAUGUAUAGUGUAGUGGUGCACACACCUGACUUCGGUGCGGGCAGUGUGAGAUUGAGUCCCGUUCAGAGAUUGUGUCGCUUUGUCCCCUUCGACGAACAGGUAGUACGCCUUUUGACCGAAGUUAGCUAGCAUAUUAUCCAAACUCCUGGGACCCUUGUGAGGAUAAGCAGCUUGUAAAAUGUAUGUCGCUGAGGCUAAAUGGCUCAGAUGAUGGACCGGUGGAUGGAUGUUAUAAGGUGCUCGAUGAGCGCAGCAACUUUAUUUUUUACUGUGAAAUAUAUGCUUUUAUUUUGUUGAGUAAAUGAAUGUCAUGCUAACGAUACGAAACUGUGCAACAACGUUCUCCAGUGCAACAUCGUUAGUUUCAUUUUGCUUUCAACACUCCUGUAACGUUUCAAAGAAGAGUACUGCACAGAACAAAACUGCCAAUUGAUCAUCAUGAAGCAGGCAAAACUGCUCUACAGUGUGAAAGCUAUAAAACAUCAAUAAAAGGAACUGGAGUCUGACGAACGAUCUAUGGGCGGCAUACUGCAUGUGAAAAUAUCCAUCCAUUUUCCGGAUUGCUUAUCCUCACUAGGGUCAUGAGCAAGUUAGAGUCAAUCCCAUGUGACUCAACGCAAGAGAAAAAACAUGGCUUCUUGGAAAACUUGAUACUGCUGAAGGGGGGGAUGCUGACUGUCUCUCUGGCUGGGCUUCCUCCUCCCUGUUCUGCUGUCAUCAGGUGAUGUCACCAACAAUGAAGGGGUCGCCACAGAGUGUCAUCUUAGAUGAACGCAUAUUUGUUUGGCACAGUUUUAUACCGGAUACCCAUCCUGACGCAACCCCUCUGCAUUUGGCUGGGGAGAGAAGCUCACAGCACCUGAUAUUUCCAGGCAGUCUCCCAUCCAGGUCAACUCAAGAUUGUCGUGGUUUUAUUGGUGUAACAGCAUUCAUGACAUUUGAGAUUUUUCAGGUGAAAGUUCAUUAUCUUUCAAAGUUCAUCUAAAAGUUCAUCAAUAAUGCCAGCAUUCACAGUUUGUGGCACAGUGACAGUCUCUAUAAACGUAGUGGCAGCACUCUCAUUUACGUACCUUUUCUUAGACAUACAGGUUAUCUAACUUCUGAAAGAUACUACAAUUCAAAGAAUACACAAAAAUGGUCAGAAAUGGGCAUAUCCUUCAUGUCGCUUGGAAUGUUAAUUUUCUGAAUGUCUUAAUUUUAAAAUGUUUAGGAAGUUUAUGUUCUACUACGUUUAAAAAGUUAAAUUUUAUCUCACUUCUUCUAUCUCUUAUUCUUCUAUUUCACUUUUACCACACUUUAUCUCACUUCAUUUUGUUGCCCACAGGUGAUUAGAUAUCUGAUAUGCUUGAUUGCAUUUGAUUUACAGUAUUUUGUAUUUAGUUUGAUGAUUAUUUAGCCGACUACUGUCAAUAUAAAAUAAUAAUAUAAUACUGAUAGACCAACCAAGACAACUAUCAUGUAGUUAGACUAGCAUCUGUGCUCAUGUUAACUUUCAACAGUCUUGUGCAGUGCUGUUAUAAGCUUUGAUAGGCAGUAAAAUAAAAAAGGAUAAGAGUAGCUGAAACACCAACAACUGUGUCACAGAUGGGAAAGCCAAGCAAAAUUUGCUUUAUUAUUAAGGAUUAAUGCUGGCUGAAUAAGAAUGACAAACCAUGAAAUUUAUGUUAUCAGAAUCAGCUUUACUGACCAAAUGUGUAAAAACACACCCAAGGAAAUUUUUCCCCGGCAGACGGUGCUGCCCUGGUACGACAUACAGAACAAAGACCAACAAAGCAGCAAGAACAAAGAACAAGAGACAUUUCGAUUUAUAUUAAUUAUUGCUUAUUGUCAUGAUCCUGCCUUCCAGUUCUGGCUGGACGUGGCCAGCACACCGGCGCUGAUUAGGAGGCGCACACCUGCGCCUCAUCUUGACUGAUUAUACUCGGUAUUUAUAGGACUCUGGGGACAACUGGUCUUCGCCAGAUCGUUGCCUUUCAUGCCUCGUUCCCGCACUUGCGUACUCUUGACACCAACCUCCCGU